Molecule: ribosomal RNA, 459 nt
Filed under: uncultured bacterium
Lineage: Bacteria
Description: partial 16S ribosomal RNA
Rfam family: Bacterial small subunit ribosomal RNA
Source: RNAcentral
CCUACGGGUGGCUGCAGUGAGGAAUAUUGGUCAAUGGGCGGGAGCCUGAACCAGCCAAGUAGCGUGCGGGAUGACGGCCCUACGGGUCGUAAACCGCUUUUGCACGGGGAUAACACCCUCCACGUGUGGAGGUCUGCAGGUACCGUGCGAAUAAGGACCGGCUAAUUCCGUGCCAGCAGCCGCGGUAAUACGGAGGGCCCGAGCGUUAUCCGGAUUUAUUGGGCUUAAAGGGAGCGUAGGCGGGAGCUCAAGUCAGCUGUAAAAUCGCGCGGCUCAACCGCGCCCCGCAGUUGAAACUGGGUGCCUUGAGUGCACGAAAGGUAGGCGGAAUGCGUGGUGUAGCGGUGAAAUGCAUAGAUAUCACGAAGAACCCCGAUUGCGAAGGCAGCCUGCCGGCGCGCGACUGACGCUGAUGCUCGAAGGCGUGGGUAUCGAACAGGAUUAGAUACCCCAGUAGUC